UACGUAGGGGGCAAGCGUUAUCCGGAUUUACUGGGUGUAAAGGGAGCGUAGACGGAAUUGCAAGUCUGAUGUGAAAAUCCGGGGCCCAACCCCGGAACUGCAUUGGAAACUGUAUUUCUAGAGUGUCGGAGAGGCAAGUGGAAUUCCUGGUGUAGCGGUGAAAUGCGUAGAUAUCAGGAGGAACACCAGUGGCGAAGGCGGCUUGCUGGACGAUGACUGACGUUGAGGCUCGAAAGCGUGGGGGGCAAACAGG
This 253-nucleotide ribosomal RNA is filed under the name uncultured bacterium. RNAcentral describes it as "partial 16S ribosomal RNA". It matches the Rfam family "Bacterial small subunit ribosomal RNA", at positions 524 to 776 of the family's 1533-position model. The record is from RNAcentral.